RNAcentral lists this ribosomal RNA (117 nucleotides) under Pleurocapsa sp. PCC 7327. RNAcentral also lists the same sequence under 1 other name. The record is from RNAcentral. Lineage: Bacteria; Bacillati; Cyanobacteriota; Cyanophyceae; Pleurocapsales; Pleurocapsaceae.
CCUGGUGCCCAUGGCGUAGUGGAUCCACGCCGAUCCAUCCCGAACUCGGUUGUGAAACGCUACAGCGGCGAAGAUAGUUGGAGGGCAACCUCCUGCCACAAUAGCACGGUGCCAGGA